AUUGAACGCUGGCGGCAUGCCUUACACAUGCAAGUCGAACGGUAACAGGUCUUCGGAUGCUGACGAGUGGCGAACGGGUGAGUAAUACAUCGGAACGUGCCCGAUCGUGGGGGAUAACGAAGCGAAGGCUUUGCUAAUACCGCAUAAGAUCUACGGAUGAAAGCAGGGGACCGCAAGGCCUUGCGCGAACGGAGCGGCCGAUGGCAGAUUAGGUAGUUGGUGGGAUAAAAGCUUACCAAGCCGACGAUCUGUAGCUGGUCUGAGAGGACGACCAGCCACACUGGGACUGAGACACGGCCCAGACUCCUACGGGAGGCAGCAGUGGGGAAUUUUGGACAAUGGGCGAAAGCCUGAUCCAGCCAUGCCGCGUGCAGGAUGAAGGCCUUCGGGUUGUAAACUGCUUUUGUACGGAACGAAAAGACUCUGGUUAAUACCUGGGGUCCAUGACGGUACCGUAAGAAUAAGCACCGGCUAACUACGUG
RNAcentral lists this ribosomal RNA (482 nucleotides) under uncultured bacterium. RNAcentral's name for it is "partial 16S ribosomal RNA". It matches the Rfam family "Bacterial small subunit ribosomal RNA", at positions 30 to 507 of the family's 1533-position model. The record is from RNAcentral.